Molecule: transfer RNA, 61 nt
Filed under: Chelonia mydas (Green sea turtle)
Lineage: Eukaryota; Metazoa; Chordata; Testudines; Cheloniidae
Source: Rfam by way of RNAcentral
AAUAGCCCAGUGACUAGGGCACUUGCCUGGCAAAUAGGAAACCUGGGUUCACGUCCCUGUU